Saimiri boliviensis boliviensis (Bolivian squirrel monkey) is the source of this 679-nucleotide non-coding RNA. Lineage: Eukaryota; Metazoa; Chordata; Mammalia; Primates; Cebidae. The record is from RefSeq and is a predicted model, not a curated record.
UCGUGGGAAUCGUUGCCGGCCUGGUUGUCCUUCGAGCUGUAGUCACUGGAGCUGUGGUCGCUGCUGUGAUGUGGAGGAAGAAGAGCUCAGGAUAUUUUCUUCCCACAGAUAAUAAAGGAGGAAGCUACUCUCAGGCUGCAAUCCCUGCCAGUUUGCUCCUUCGACUCCAUCAACAUCAGCACCUGCCAGAUGCCCAACACCAACUGUGUGAAGAGUGAAAAGGCCCCAGAACUAAAGGACAAGACUAAUUUCCAUCCGAGCCAUCCCUCCCCUCGCAGAGCUCUAGCUCCAUGCUUGUAGUGCUUAGGCUCUUAACCUGGGGCCCUGAAACCCACCAUCCCAUGACACUGCAUGCAGAAGUGAUGUUACGUCCACAUGUGACUUCCUUACAGGACAUUGAAUCGUAAUAUUAAUCAGAUCAGUAGGGACUCAAGACACCACUCUUCCCCCAACAGCUUGCGAUCCUCUGAACUAAAGAAAGGGUAGAUAUCGAGGGACGCUCUAACUCCAAAUCUUCUACCACUUCUAGUGAAGUUCUGACAAGAAGUGCAAGGUACUCAACCUGCUCUGGGGAUACAGCAGGAAAGAGUGUUCAUGGAUUUCAAAUUCCAGCAAAGAAAUACCAUUUUGGCAAAAUAUUCAUGUCACUUCUCUAAGCCCCAGCCAGAAGCUCUAAUAA